GACUGCGAUGAGAAUUGCGGUCGUAACUCUGAGACACGAUGCCGAGCGGGUUUCCGCGAAGUCACUAAUUCCAUGCUGUCGAGAAAAGCCCAGCAGUGAGUUUGUAUGGCGCCCGUACCCCAAACCGACGCAGGUGGGCGGGUAGAGAAUACCGAGGCGAUCGGGAGAACUAUGGUUAAGGAACUCGGCAAAAUGCCUCCGUAACUUCGGAAGAAGGAGGACCCACGUAGGGUGAAGAGACUUCGCGUCUCCAGCCUGAAUGGGUGGCACAGAGCAGGGGGUAGCGACUGUUUAACAAAAACACAGCAGCGUGCGAAGCCGCAAGGCGCUGUAUACGCUGUGACGCCUGCCCAAUGCUGGAAGGUCACGAGGAACGGUUAGCCGCAAGGCGAAGCUGUGAAUCUAAGCCCCAGUGAAUGGCGGCCGUAACUAUAACGGUCCUAAGGUAGCGAAAUUCCUUGUCGGGUAAGUUCCGACCUGCACGAAUGGCGUAACGACUUCCCCGCUGUCUCAACCAUAGACCCGGCGAAAUUGAAGUACGAGUAAAGAUGCUCGUUUGCUGCGGAAGGACGGAAAGACCCCGUGGACCUUUACUAUAACUUGAUGUUGAGCUUUGAAAUGGGCUGUGUAGGAUAGGUGGGAGACUGUGAAGCCGGUGCGCUAGCACUGGUGGAGUCAUUGGUGAAAUACCACCCUGCGUAUUUUGGAGCUCUAACUUUGGUCCGUAAUCCGGAUCAGGGACAGCGUCAGGCGGGUAGUUUGACUGGGGCGGUCGCCUCCUAAAUUGUAACGGAGGCGCUCAAAGGUUCCCUCAGACUGGUUGGUAAUCAGUCGUCGAGUGUAAUGACACAAGGGAGCUUGACUGCGAGACUGACAGGUCAAGCAGGUGCGAAAGCAGGACAUAGUGACCCGGCCAUUGCUUGUGGAAGCGUGGUCGCUCAACGGAUAAAAGGUACCCCGGGGAUAACAGGCUAAUCUUUCCCAAGAGUCCAUAUCGACGGAAAGGUUUGGCACCUCGAUGUCGGCUCAUCGCAUCCUGGGGCUGAAGCAGGUCCCAAGGGUUGGGCUGUUCGCCCAUUAAAGCGGUACGCGAGCUGGGUUCAGAACGUCGUGAGACAGUUCGGUCCCUAUCCUCCGCAGCCGGAAGUGAUUUGAGGAAGGCUGUCCCUAGUACGAGAGGACCGGGACGGACGGAGCUCUGGUGUGUCAGUUGUCCUGCCAAGGGCACGGCUGAUUAGCCACCUCCGGAAGGGAUAACCGCUGAAAGCAUCUAAGCGGGAAGCCCGUUCCAAGAUGAGAUCACUCAUGCAGUCAAUGCAGUAAGGCCCGUGGCGAGAUCACCACGUUGAUAGGCCGGAAGUGUACGCAUCGCAAGAUGUUCAGCUGACCGGUACUAAUCGGCCGAGGGCUUGGAUUG
Molecule: ribosomal RNA, 1417 nt
Filed under: marine metagenome
Description: bacterial LSU rRNA
Rfam family: Bacterial large subunit ribosomal RNA
Source: RNAcentral